AUAUUGGACAAUGGGCGAAAGCCUGAUCCAGCCAUGCCGCGUGUGUAAAGAAGGUCUUCGGAUUGUAAAGCACCUUAAGGUGUGAGGAAGGGCAGUAAGUUAAUACCUUGCUGUUUUGACGUUACCGACAGAAUAAGCACCUGCUAAAUUCUUGCCAGCAGCCGCGGGAAGACGAAGGGUGCAAGCGUUAAUCGGAAUUACUGGGCGUAAAGCGCGCGUAGGUGGUUUGUUAAGUUGGAAGUGAAAGCCCCGGGCUCAACCUGGGAACUGCUUUCAUAACUGCUGAGCUAGAGUACGGUAGAGGGUAGUGGAAUUUCCUGUGUAGCGGUGAAAUGCGUAGAUAUAGGAAGGAACACCAGUGGCGAAGGCGACUACCUGGACUGAUACUGACACUGAGGUGCGAAAGCGUGGGGAGCAAACA
Molecule: ribosomal RNA, 421 nt
Filed under: uncultured bacterium
Lineage: Bacteria
Description: partial 16S ribosomal RNA
Rfam family: Bacterial small subunit ribosomal RNA
Source: RNAcentral